This 449-nucleotide ribosomal RNA is filed under the name uncultured bacterium. RNAcentral describes it as "partial 16S ribosomal RNA". It matches the Rfam family "Bacterial small subunit ribosomal RNA", at positions 329 to 794 of the family's 1533-position model. The record is from RNAcentral.
UGCCAGACUCCUACGGGAGGCAGCAGUGGGGAAUAUUGCACAAUGGGGGAAACCCUGAUGCAGCAACGCCGCGUGAGUGAGGAAGUAUUUCGGUAUGUAAAGCUCUAUCAGCAGGGAAUAGAAAAGAAGGUACCUGAAAAAGAAGCCCCGGCUAACUACGUGCCAGCAGCCGCGGUAAUACGUAGGGGGCGAGCGUUAUCCGGAUUCACUGGGUGUAAAGGGAGCGUAGACGGCCAAGCAAGCCAGGGGUGAAAGCCCGGGGCCCAACCCCGGGACUGCCCUUGGAACUGCAUGGCUGGAGUGCGGGAGGGGCAGGCGGAAUUCCUGGUGUAGCGGUGAAAUGCGUAGAUAUCAGGAGGAACACCGGCGGCGAAGGCGGCCUGCUGGAUCGCGACUGACGUUGAGGCUCGAAAGCGUGGGGAGCGAACAGGAUUAGAUACCCGAGUAAC